CAGUCGCCGCGGGAAUACAGAGGGUGCAAGCGUUAAUCGGAUUUACUGGGCGUAAAGGGCGCGUAGGUGGUUAUUUAAGUGAGAUGUGAAAGCCCCGGGCUUAACCUGGGAACUGCAUCUUAUACUGGGUAACUGGAGUGCAGUAGAGGGUAGUGGAAUUCCACGUGUAGCGGUGAAAUGCGUAGAGAUGUGGAGGAACACCAGUGGCGAAGGCGACUCUCUGGUCUGUAACUGACGCUGAGGAGCGAAAGCGUGGGGAGCGAACAGGAUUAGAUACCCCAGUAGUCCCUGUCUCUUAUAC
Molecule: ribosomal RNA, 301 nt
Filed under: uncultured bacterium
Lineage: Bacteria
Description: partial 16S ribosomal RNA
Rfam family: Bacterial small subunit ribosomal RNA
Source: RNAcentral